Molecule: ribosomal RNA, 253 nt
Filed under: uncultured bacterium
Lineage: Bacteria
Description: partial 16S ribosomal RNA
Rfam family: Bacterial small subunit ribosomal RNA
Source: RNAcentral
UACGUAGGCAGCGAGCGUUGUUCGGAAUUACUGGGCGUAAAGAGUGUGUAGGCGGUGCUCUAAGUUCGGUGUGAAAUCUCCUGGCUCAACUGGGAGGGUGCGCCGGAAACUGGAGUGCUUGAGCGUGGGAGAGGAAAGCGGAAUUCCUGGUGUAGCGGUGAAAUGCGUAGAUAUCAGGAGGAACACCUGUGGUGUAGACGGCUUUCUGGACCAUAGCUGACGCUGAGGAGCGAAAGCGUGGGGAGCGAACAGG